CCCUGUCCUUCCCUGCAGAAACAAACCUUCACGAAGAAGAGGAGCGCGUGGAGGCUCCUUGGGAUCCAGGCAGGAUGUGGAGAGACCAUUUAAUAACUUCAUUUCUCCCUGCUCUCCUGGCCUCUGCCUGGGAUAAUGAAAAAUUAUGGAAAUUGAAGAUAAGUCAUUCAUUAGAACCCCGAGGGGAAAAAUGCAAAGAUAAAGUCAGCCGGCGAGCUCUGUACCGAAACUAAAUUUGGAAUUAACACCAUCUCAAGGAAUUUGAGAUAUUUGAAUAGGGUCAUUGUUUUCUUUCAUAAAACAAGCCGUGAAGUCACAUGACACUAUGUAAUGCAUCCACAGGAACAGCGGCAUGGCUCAACAUGCCUCCCGGGCUCUGAAAGGAACCGCAGCAUCCUCUCAGCUGGAAACGUCCUCAGGGGCACGGUGCUUGGACUCUUCCGGUCUGCGGAGCCCCAGGCUGGAAGCUCUGGAUCAUGCACGGGAAGAAGGAAGGUGUCUGGGGCCUUCCGAGUGGAGCAGCGGCGCUUGCUUUCUGGGGAAAUGCUGUGGACACGCCCUGCCAAAGCGCAAAGCCAGAGUCCCCCAGCCAGGGCAUGACAAAAGAUCAGCCAGGACAGCAAAGCUCUUUUCCCUGCAGGCGCCGAGGAGGACCUGCCUGGCUCCCUUGGAGCUGUGGUCACUUGCAGGGUCCCAGAGUCCCUCUGAAGCCCAUCCUUUAUUAGUGGGGAUGUGGCAGGUGCUUAGGGUGGACCCCAGCGCCCUGUCCUGCCGCCCCCUCCUGGGGAAGGAGUUGGGUGAUUCCCUGAAUUCAGGGGAGGGAAGCAGAGGCUGAGGGGCUCUGAGCAGCCCCAGGUUCUCCUGUCCCUUUGGGGGGGUGGCUUACCUUCUGUCACUUCUGUUUUCUCCCUCCCCUAUUGCCCCUCCCCCUCGUCUCCCCUCGGGAACUCUAGUUUGUUUUCUGAUGGUUGGGUCUCUUUCUGUUUUGUACAUAUACUCAUUGGCAGCCCUUCACUUCUUAAAUCCGGUCUUUGAACCCAGCCCCUCCUGUGUGCAGGUACCCCAACUUUCCAGAUGCUUGGUUUCCUCCCUCGGAUGUUGCAACACUGAUGCCUGGGAGAGUCGCUCUGAGGAGUCUAUGGGGUCUUGUAUGUACGGAGCCGGGGCCCAGCAAAGGCAGCUAUCGGACUUUUAAUUUCGUGAGUGCCUCUGUUGAUCGGGAGGAGGUGUGAUGAGUCUGGACAUGGGGUGAACUUCCCCUCGGGGAGACGGCUCUGCUACCCUUGAGCUCAGCGGGGGUGUCUUCGCAAUUGACCUGGGUACAGCACGUCGGAGGCAGGACACAUCUGCCUGUGCUCUCUCUGCGAAUCCAUGAAUCUGCAAAUCUGAGAAUCCUCUUCAGCACACUGCGGUCAGCGCUGCAGCUUCCCUUUUAUGAAGGGGAUGCCUUGGAGAAACGAGGCUCACGUGAGCACUUGUCUAAGGCCCGGCAGCUCAUCAGAGGCUGUGGGACACCCCGGUCUGGGUCCCUGCUGCUCUGCGCUGCUGUAGCCCGGGACCAGGCUCCCUUCACACUCCUCCUACCCGAGACAGGCCUUUGGAAACCCUGCAGACGGCUCUGCCUGCGCUCAGGUCGAACCCGGGCCUCGGCACGCCCACCACAGAAGCUGCCUGGUUUUGGUUUAUCUGGGCUCGCCAGCUUCUAAUCCAUCCAGAGCCCCGCUCAGGGCUUCCAAGCUAGAUCGGCAACUGGGCUUUAUUGAGUUGUCUUCUCUUUAACCACAUUAGCGAGACCGUUUUGGCGUAAUCUGCUUAAAAGAAACAGACGCUAAACC
RNAcentral lists this long non-coding RNA (1835 nucleotides) under Sus scrofa (pig). Its description in RNAcentral is "lncRNA (ENSSSCG00070016994.1)". The record is from RNAcentral. Lineage: Eukaryota; Metazoa; Chordata; Mammalia; Artiodactyla; Suidae.